CGAACGGAGUGCCUCAGAAAGAGAUUUCGGUCAAUGGACGGGGUUACUUAGUGGCGGACGGGUGAGUAACGCGUGAGGAACCUGCCUUUCAGAGGGGGACAACAGCUGGAAACGGCUGCUAAUACCGCAUAACGUACAGUCAUCGCAUGGUGGCGGUACCAAAGAUUUAUCGCUGAAAGAUGGCCUCGCGUCUGAUUAGCUAGUUGGUAGGGUAACGGCCUACCAAGGCGACGAUCAGUAGCCGGACUGAGAGGUUGGCCGGCCACAUUGGGACUGAGAUACGGCCCAGACUCCUACGGGAGGCAGCAGUGGGGAAUAUUGGGCAAUGGGCGCAAGCCUGACCCAGCAACGCCGCGUGAAGGAAGAAGGCUUUCGGGUUGUAAACUUCUUUUGACAGGGAAGAGCAGAAGACGGUACCUGUCGAAUAAGCCACGGCUAACUACGUGCCAGCAGCCGCGGUAAUACGUAGGUGGCAAGCGUUGUCCGGAUUUACUGGGUGUAAAGGGCGUGCAGCCGGGAGUGCAAGUCAGAUGUGAAAUCCCGCGGCUCAACCGCGGAACUGCAUUUGAAACUGUGCUUCUUGAGUACUGGAGAGGCAGACGGAAUUCCUAGUGUAGCGGUGAA
Molecule: ribosomal RNA, 624 nt
Filed under: uncultured bacterium
Lineage: Bacteria
Description: bacterial SSU rRNA
Rfam family: Bacterial small subunit ribosomal RNA
Source: RNAcentral